CCAGACCCUACGGGAGGCAGCAGUGGGGAAUAUUGCACAAUGGGCGGAAGCCUGAUGCAGCAACGCCGCGUGCGGGAUGACGGCCUUCGGGUUGUAAACCGCUUUCGCCUGUGACGAAGCGUGAGUGACGGUAAUGGGUAAAGAAGCACCGGCUAACUACGUGCCAGCAGCCGCGGUGAUACGUAGGGUGCGAGCGUUGUCCGGAUUUAUUGGGCGUAAAGGGCUCGUAGGUGGUUGAUCGCGUCGGAAGUGUAAUCUUGGGGCUUAACCCUGAGCGUGCUUUCGAUACGGGUUGACUUGAGGAAGGUAGGGGAGAAUGGAAUUCCUGGUGGAGCGGUGGAAUGCGCAGAUAUCAGGAGGAACACCAGUGGCGAAGGCGGUUCUCUGGGCCUUUCCUGACGCUGAGGAGCGAAAGCGUGGGGAGCGAACAGGCUUAGAUACCCUGGUAGUCCACGCUGUAAACGGUGGGUACUAGGUGUGGGGUCCAUUCCACGGGUUCCGUGCCGUAGCUAACGCUUUAAGUACCCCGCCUGGGGAGUACGGCCGCAAGGCUAAAACUCAAAGGAAUUGACGGGGGCCCGCACAAG
This 587-nucleotide ribosomal RNA is filed under the name uncultured bacterium. Its description in RNAcentral is "bacterial SSU rRNA". It matches the Rfam family "Bacterial small subunit ribosomal RNA", at positions 331 to 929 of the family's 1533-position model. The record is from RNAcentral.